This 613-nucleotide ribosomal RNA is filed under the name uncultured Cortinariaceae. Its description in RNAcentral is "eukaryotic LSU rRNA". It matches the Rfam family "Eukaryotic large subunit ribosomal RNA", at positions 57 to 650 of the family's 3401-position model. The record is from RNAcentral. Lineage: Eukaryota; Fungi; Basidiomycota; Agaricomycetes; Agaricales; Cortinariaceae.
AAAAGAAACUAACAAGGAUUCCCUUAGUAACUGCGAGUGAAGUGGGAAAAGCUCAAAUUUAGAAUCUGGCGGUCGCUUGGCUGUCCGAGUUGUAAUCUAGAGAAGUGUUGCCCGUGCUGGACCAUGUACAAGUCUCCUGGAAUGGAGCAUCACAGAGGGUGAGAAUCCUGUCUUUGACAUGGACUGCCAGUGCUUUUGUGGUACGCUCUCAAAGAGUCGAGUUGUUUGGGAAUGCAGCUCAAAACGGGUGGUAAAUGCCAUCUAAAGCUAAAUAUUGGCGAGAGACCGAUAGCGAACAAGUACCGUGAGGGAAAGAUGAAAAGAACUUUGGAAAGAGAGUUAAACAGUACGUGAGAUUGCUGAAAGGGAAACGCUUGAAGUCAGUCGCGUUGACUCGGAAUCAGCUCUGCUUUUGCUGGGUGUACUUUCUUGUCAAUGGGUCAGCAUCAAUUUUGACCAUUGGAUAAAGUUGCUGGGAAUGUAGCAUCCUUUUGGAUGUGUUAUAGCCUGGUGAUGCAUACGGUGGUUGGGAUUGAGGAAUUCAGCACGCCACCAGGCCGGGUUUCGACCACGUUCGUGCUUAGGAUGCUGGCAUAAUGGCUUUAAUCGACCC